RNAcentral lists this ribosomal RNA (253 nucleotides) under uncultured bacterium. RNAcentral's name for it is "partial 16S ribosomal RNA". It matches the Rfam family "Bacterial small subunit ribosomal RNA", at positions 524 to 776 of the family's 1533-position model. The record is from RNAcentral.
UACGUAGGCAGCAAGCGUUGUUCGGAGUUACUGGGCGUAAAGGGUGCGUAGGCGGCUUUUUAAGUUUGGUGUGAAAACUCGAGGCUCAACCUCGAGACGCCGAUGGAAACCAUCUGGCUAGAGUCCGGAAGAGGAGAGUGGAAUUCCUGGUGUAGCGGUGAAAUGCGCAGAUAUCAGGAAGAACACCCGUGGCUAAGGCGGCUCUCUAGUACGGUACUGACGCUGAGACGCGAAAGCGUGGGGAGCGAACAGG